GGAAUCAGCCCCGAAGGACAGCCGGGAAGGGUUGGGAAAAAACGCAGCGAAGGGCAAGCUCGCCUCUUCAGACGGCCGGGAAGGAGGAGCAUGAGCGUGCGGCCCGGGUAUGAGGGCUCCGAAUGGCUGCAGCAGCACCGCUCUAAGACGUGCUAGUGAUUUCCUCCGGAGAGAGAGAGCGAGAGCGAGCGAGAGACCCUCAGUCCAUGACUCAGCAGAGAAGCAGGCGGCAGGAGCGCAGGAGGGGGAUCUGGCCCCCUUUUUUUCUUUUUGCGCGCGUAAAAGGGGAAGAGGAAAGAUCCAGACGAAGCAAAGAUAGAGGGAUCAGCAGCAGCAACAGCAGCAGCAGCCGCCGCCGCCAAGCUGCAAUCCCGCCUGGAGACAGGGAGAGGGCACCCCAGCAGAGUCGCUGCUGCUGCUGUUGCUGCAGCAGCCUGGCGCUUCUGCCGCGCGCCUUGAGCUCUUGCAUCCCCGCAAAACCUCCGGAGCGAUGAUGUUGCUGAGACGGAAGAAACGAUCGCGGCGCCCGCAGACGGCGUCGCCCCUCAGGAAAGCGCUUUGCAGCGGCUGGUGGCAGCCUGGGAGAAAACGAAGGAGGAUCAUUUCUCGAUCCUGAAGGGAAGACACCACCAUCUCUCCGCGGCCAGCAGAGAGGGGGCCGAGAGAAGAGCGAGGAUUGCAUCUUUGGACGUCGGGGGGCGAAGGGGGGGAGAGUUUUCCCUGUGCAGAUCUUGGCGCUGCUGAAAAGGAGACCCCGAGAAAGGACCAGAGGAAGAGGAGAAACCCGCGGACUUUAGCUCCGUUUCGGCCCCUUCAGUCCGUCCCGAAAUCGCGCGUUUCUCCGCUCUUCCACACAGACGCGCUCGCUCACCGGAGUGAAAACCGGCUGUUGAGAGGGGCGUCGAACAAAUGCAGCAGCUGGGAAGCAAGUCCUUUUAACUGUAUGCCUCCUCACCGGGAGCCCGCUGAACUCGACGGCUUCUAAAUGCAAACGCCGAAGGUUGCGCAGUUACAGAAUCGCUACCUUUCAUCCAGUUGCUAGGUUAAAACUGCGUCUUUAUUCAGCAGGCGCCGUAAAGAGAAACCCGUGCGAGAUUAUGGCGGCAAGAAAAUAAAAGAAGAAAUCUGCUAGUAGUAUUUCGAACUCGUGACUUUUAAUCGGAUGUUAGUCAGAAAAGACUCUACCUGUUUAAUUCUGAUUUAUUCAGUAGCAAAUCCUGACGAAAUCUAGGACCCGUGACCCUAAGUGUGGAACACUAUGCUUUUGAGUUUGAUUACUGAGGUCAGUUAUUCAUCAGAGUUAUUCAUCUCUGAUGCUGAUUGCCACACCAUUUGAAAUCCAAAUAUGUCAUUACAGAGACCUGGUCAUCACUGGUACUUCAUGUUGCAGCACAAGGAUAAAAUGUUCAGUUAAAAAAAAACUAUUUUUUUUACCUUUAAUUUUGAAAUUGUUAAAUCGUUAUUGCAAAAUUUAUUUAUUUAUUUAUAAAACGAGUUUAGUUCAAACAGAAACUCUUUUGAGAUACCCAAAAGGACACAUAGAGAAUAUUGCUGAAUUGAUAUUCUGGAUAUUGAGAGCAGAUGCAUGCUCUCAAUAGUGAAAACACCUAAUUUCCCGUCUGCUAACGUGUAAUACUAAACUUUUCAGAUUUCCUAAUAUUUUUCCAAAAGAAAUUGCUCCAUUUUUUUCAAUUUUUUUUUUUAUUUAUUUAUUUAUUUUAUUAAUUUUUUAUACCGCCCUUCUCCUGAAGGACUCAGGGCUGUGUACAGCCAAAAAUAAAACCCACAACUAUAUGAAAGUUAAAAGACAAUUUAAAAAUAUUAAAUAAUUUGGCUGAAAGAGCUAAAAUAGAAACCACCCAUUAAAAUAGCAUUUAGGCCAGAUCUGCUUGGUGAAACAAUAGCGUUUUGAGGGCGUGGCGAAAGGUGCGAAGGUUGGGGAUCCUACGAAUCUCCGGGGGCAGUUCAUUCCAGAGGGCAGGUGCCCCCACAGAGAAGGCUCUCCCCCUGGGGGUCAUCAUUCGACAUUGCCCGACGGCACCCUGAGGAGUCCCUCUCUGUGGGACCAGACCAGCAUACUGGGAAGCUAUCGGUGGCAGAAGCAGUAAGUACCUGGGUACUAAGCCAUGGAGCACUUUAAAGAUGGCAACCAACACCUUGAAUCGCACCCGGAAGACCACCGGGAGCCAGUGCAGCUCACGCAGGAGCAGUGUUACAUGGGAGCGUCAAGUCGCUCCCAUAAUCACCCGUGCGGCUGCAUUCUGGACCAGCUGGAGCCUCCGGGUGCUCUUCAAGGGGAGCCCCAUGUAGAGAACAUUACAGUAGUCCAGACUGGGCAUGAGUGACUGUGCGUAAGGAGUCCUGGUCCAGAAAGGGACGCAACUGGUAGAUCAGGCGAACCUGAUAAAAAGCCACAACAGAUGUAUGUCACAACAUAUGUAUGGAAAUUGAAUAGUUCACUUGCAAUAAAAUAUGUAAGAUUUUACUGUAGUUUACUGAUAAUUCACACAACUCAAUAAGCCUUGUUUGCUUAGCACUAUUCUAUUGAGUAAACCACAGUUUCAUUUAUAGUAAAUCAUGAACAAGAAAAUUAUGGUUUACCAUAUUCUAUGAAUCCAAGUACAUACUUUUUAAAAAUUGCACAUUUUCCCUUUUUUUGCCAAGAAAACAAUACUGAAAUAGUUUUUGCCGACUAGAGAAAUGUAUAAAGAGGAGAAUAUUUUAUAAAUCUAUUGCAUGAGCCCAAAAUAUAAUCCUAAAUUUAUUUAUUUUUAUCAGAUCAGGCCAAAGCAAAUGUGCCAAUUGGAUUAUUAGUUAAUCUCAGCAUUUUUUAAUUCUCAGCUGUCAUGAUAAAAUAGUAUUUUGUGCAGCCUGAUGUUAACUUAGGCAUUAGUUGCAUAUUGCAUGGUGGAACUUCUUUGAUUUAUAAUUGUACCAUGAAGUUCUGCAUGUACUGUAUCUAAAAAGUGCUGCUGCACUGUGUUUAAUGGGGCUCACUUUCUUGCAAGUGUAUUUAAAUUGAACUUUAAGACUUUUUCCUCUUAUCUAAACAAAAACCCUAUGGUCAGUAUGACAUACAGUAUCCAUUUCAAUUAUCUAUAGUUUAUCCAGUAUUUUUAUUUUGGACAAUACUGUAUAAGCUAUAAACUAGGUUGCAUUUCCACAAUGUGUUACAUUAAAACCUGAUUGCCCAGUUUUGAUUAAGUAUGUUGUGGAACUCCAAUCAAAGAGUACCCAUUGAAUCUGCAGGAAAGAUAUGAAUAGAACUCCAUGGCAUAUUAGCAAGGGUUUUUUUUUUUUUUGCCCUACAGUUCAUCUUUUUUAUCUAAUCUUACAUGGAUAAUUUAUAUUAGGAUUCAUAAUUUAGUUUUGUAUACAUGCAUUGAAAGUGUAUUGCAUGAUGUCACAAAUGCAGUCUUUUUAAACACUGCAGUAUAUUGCAGAUACUGUAAAAACAUACAGGUUAUGCUAAGAUUGUUCCUAAGAUUCCCAUAGCUUCAAGGUGAGGCGGUAUUCUUCAUUCAGUACUUUGUUGCAAUGCAAUGCAGUGUCAUUUCUGUCACACACAUGCAGAUAGAACUGACAUAACAGGAAAAAGAUUUACAAUGCACUAAUAUUUGUGAAAAAAUCUUUGAGUGGAUAAUGAGUGGCAAAAAAAGUUCAGAACCAUGAAAGUAUGGUUUCAGUACAUUUGUACUCAAGUACACUUGUUAACAGUGGUUUAUAUAGAGAUUAUUGGUUAAUUAGCUCAACUGCCCCAGAUUUUUCUAAGUAUGUCAGGUUAAUUUAAUUUUUUUAAGUUGCAUGUAUUUUAACAAUUCAUAGAUAAAUACAUUAUAACUCACUAAUAAUCCCCAUAUUAAGAGAUAUUUUGAGAUCCAAACCAACAAGUACAUUUGAUAAAUGUAAACACUUAAAAGUGUCUAGCAAUUAGCAACAUAAACCCAUCAUAUAACCAUAAGCAGAAACUGCAAUCUAUCAGAAUCUGAACAUCUAUCUAGAAUUCUUUCAGAAAGAACCAAAAUAACUGAACUUUGUCUCGUCUCCACUUGGGACUCCCAGGCCAAUUUUAAAAAAGCAUUUCACACUAAAAUAUUGUACUUAACUGUUCAUCACACCUCUUCUAUCAUGUUCUAUUUGACGGAACUAUCUAGAUCAACUAAUAAAUAGAAUAAGUGGAUGGCAUUACAGUAGAAAGAAAUCAAUAUACACAGGAAUAUGCUUUGCAAAUUUUUUUACAAGAUCCUCCACCAGCAAAAAGAUUGUGACUCACUGAAAGCUCAGAUGAUACUUAGCAUUUUAGCAAUAAAGUAUUUUUAAUUAAGGUA
Pantherophis guttatus is the source of this 4328-nucleotide non-coding RNA. NCBI's taxonomy places the organism in Eukaryota, Metazoa, Chordata, Lepidosauria, Squamata, Colubridae. The record is from RefSeq and is a predicted model, not a curated record.